GAUCUCUUUGAGGCCCGUUAUCGGAAUGAGAACAAUUUAAAUCCUUUAACGAGGAUCUAGCGGAGGGCAAGUCUGGUGCCAGCAGCCGCGGUAAUUCCAGCUCCGCAGGUGUAUAUCUAUGCUGCUGCGGUUAAAAAGCUCGUAGUUGGAUCUGCGUGCUCGGAACCGGUUGGCUCACUGAGUUCAAACUGGUCUCCGGCGCUUUAUUGGCUGGUUUUCCCUUGAUGCUCUUAACCGGGUGUCUUGGGUGGCUAGCACGUUUACUUUGAAAAAAUUAGAGUGCUCAAUACAGGCGCAAAGCCUUGAAUAGUGGUGCAUGGAAUAAUAGAAUAGGACCUCGGCUCUAUUUUGUUGGUUUUCGGAACGCGAGGUAAUGAUUAAGAGGGACAGACGGGGGCAUUCGUAUUGCGACGUUAGAGGUGAAAUUCUUGGAUCGUCGCAAGACGGACGACUGCGAAAGCAUUUGCCAAGAAUGUUUUCAUUAAUCAAGAACGAAAGUUAGAGGUUCGAAGGCGAUCAGAUACCGCCCUAGUUCUAACCGUAAACGAUGCCAACUAGCGAUCCGCAGGCGUUAAACAACGACCUUGCGGGCAGCUUCCCGGAAACGAAAGUGUUCGGGUUCCGGGGGAAGUAUGGUUGCAAAGCUGAAACUUAAAGGAAUUGACGGAAGGGCACCACCAGGAGUGGAGCCUGCGGCUUAAUUUGACCCAACACGGGAAAACUCACCCGGCCCGGACACCGUAAGGAUUGACAGAUUGAGAGCUCUUUCUUGAUUCGGUGGGUGGUGGUGCAUGGCCGUUCUUAGUUGGUGGAGCGAUUUGUCUGGUUUAUUCCGAUAACGAACGAGACUCUGGCCUACUAAAUAGUGGGCGGAUUCUUUCUGUCCGCAACACUUCUUAGAGGGACAAGCGGUGUUCAGCCGCACGAGAUUGAGCAAUAACAGGUCUGUGAUGCCCUUAGAUGUCCGGGGCUGCACGCGCGCUACACUGAAGGAAUCAGCGUGCUUUCUGACCUUGCCCGAAAGGGCUGGGUAACCCGAUGAAAAUCCUUCGUGAUUGGGAUAGGGACUUGCAAUUAUUUCCCUUGAACGAGGAAUUCCCAGUAAGUGUGGGUCAUAAGCUCGCGUUGAUUACGUCCCUGCCCUUUGUACACACCGCCCGUCGCUGCCCGGGACUGAGCCGUUUCGAGAAGAACAGGGACCGUCGUUGAAGGGCCCUAACGGGCUUUUCUCUGAUAGAAACUGUUUU
RNAcentral lists this ribosomal RNA (1247 nucleotides) under metagenome. RNAcentral describes it as "SSU rRNA". It matches the Rfam family "Eukaryotic small subunit ribosomal RNA", at positions 488 to 1760 of the family's 1831-position model. The record is from RNAcentral.